Molecule: ribosomal RNA, 468 nt
Filed under: uncultured bacterium
Lineage: Bacteria
Description: partial 16S ribosomal RNA
Rfam family: Bacterial small subunit ribosomal RNA
Source: RNAcentral
GACGAACGCUGGCGGCGUGCUUAGCACAUGCAAGUCGAACGGAAAGGCCCUGCUUUUGUGGGGUGCUCGAGUGGCGAACGGGUGAGUAACACGUGAGUAACCUGCCCUUGACUUUGGGAUAACUUCAGGAAACUGGGGCUAAUACCGGAUAGGAGCUCCUGCUGCAUGGUGGGGGUUGGAAAGUUUCGGCGGUUGGGGAUGGACUCGCGGCUUAUCAGCUUGUUGGUGGGGUAGUGGCUUACCAAGGCUUUGACGGGUAGCCGGCCUGAGAGGGUGACCGGCCACAUUGGGACUGAGAUACGGCCCAGACUCCUACGGGAGGCAGCAGUGGGGAAUAUUGCACAAUGGGCGGAAGCCUGAUGCAGCAACGCCGCGUGCGGGAUGACGGCCUUCGGGUUGUAAACCGCUUUCGCCUGUGACGAAGCGUGAGUGACGGUAAUGGGUAAAGAAGCACCGGCUAACUACGUA